Long non-coding RNA from Dendrobium catenatum, 1173 nucleotides. RefSeq lists it as uncharacterized. The transcript has 4 exons. NCBI's taxonomy places the organism in Eukaryota, Viridiplantae, Streptophyta, Magnoliopsida, Asparagales, Orchidaceae. The record is from RefSeq and is a predicted model, not a curated record.
GUCAUUUUCCAGUUUCUUUGCUCUUUCUUUAGCCGUGGGUUUGCUAGGGUUUUCUUUACCUCUUCUCAAGCUCUUGGUGGCUGUUCGAAUUUGCCUACUUCGCCUGAAAGGGAUAUCCAGGUUUCUUAUAACAUCAAGGAUGGCCAAAAGAUUCUCAGGCAACCGAUGUUAUGAUUUUCCGUAUUUAUGCUUGAGGUUUCUUAUACACAUUUUGCAAUGGUGACAUCAUGGUUGGCUUGAAAAUUCUCAGGCAACCGAUGUUAUGAUCUUACCUAUUUAUGCUUGAGUAUAUGGCAUUCUGGAUGACCUGAAGUUUCUGGAGCAACCACCGCUGACAUUAUGAUGGAAUUCGUGCAUAGUAAAGCCUCUACAUUUUUCCUAUGUCAUGGAUUCAUUGUCAUCAUUUGAGCCUUCUUCUUUCUUCUUCUUCUUCUUCUUCUUCUUCUUCUUUCUUUUUGCAUAAUCCUUUUGGUUGAGUUUGUUUUGGAGGAAUUUGGACAAACGACACUGUUUUCCUAUUUGACACUUACUCGGCCUUUUCUCCAAUCUAAUUUUAGCUCGUGUUGUUGGAACUGUGUCUCUGGCUCUGUUAUGGAAGAAAAAAAUCAUUAAAGAGAAAUAUACAUAUGAUUUACAGUUAGAAAUACUAUAUGUAGCUUCAUCUUCUCCAUGAAAUACAUUUGGGAAGGCUUUAUCAUUUGACAUUUAUGAUGAUUUGUGCCAUACUCAUAACGGGUAAUAGUGCUUUGAUUAUUUGUUUUAGGAGUUCAAAAAAAUUACGGGGAAGAUUAUGAUGAUAAUGGUUUAGAGUUUGGCUUCGUUGUGCAGUGCUUUUAUUGAGUAUCUCUAUGUUUUCUAUGGCUAUACAUGAAUAACAAAAUUUUUUGACAGCUCUAAAUAACAAGGGACUUGAAGAUCCACUUGAAGGCAACUCCUUUACUAUGGGAAUGCCUUACAUCGAGAAUUACCUUGAUCAGGCAUUAACCUUGAUCAGGCAUUAAUAUGUGCUCAAACACAAGAUUGUUUGAUCAAGUAUUUUUCUAAUUCAAUUGGAUUACAUGAAGGAUCAGCAUUAAGCCCUCUUUUUUUUUUUGCAUUAGUCAUGGAUCUUACUUGUUACUUGUAAUUUCCUCAAUAAUGUUAUCAUCGAGAUAUGUGUUGGUUGGUAGAACA